This 468-nucleotide ribosomal RNA is filed under the name uncultured bacterium. RNAcentral's name for it is "partial 16S ribosomal RNA". It matches the Rfam family "Bacterial small subunit ribosomal RNA", at positions 28 to 507 of the family's 1533-position model. The record is from RNAcentral.
GACGAACGCUGGCGGCGUGCUUAACACAUGCAAGUCGAACGGAAAGGCCCUGCUUUUGUUGGUUGCUCGAGUGGCGAACGGGUGAGUAACACGUGAGUAACCUGCCCUUGACUUUGGGAUAACUUCAGGAAACUGGGGCUAAUACCGGAUAUGAGCUCCUGCUGCAUGGUGGGGGUGGGAAAGUUUCGGCGGUUGGGGAUGGACUCGCGGCUUAUCAGCUUGUUGGUGGGGUAGUGGCUUACCAAGGCUUUGACGGGUAGCCGGCCUGAGAGGGUGACCGGACACAUUGGGACUGAGAUACGGGCCAGACUCCUACGGGAGGCAGCAGUGGGGAAUAUUGCACAAUGGGCGGAAGCCUGAUGAAGCAACGCCGCGUGCGGGAUGACGGCCUUCGGGUUGUAAACCGCUUUCGCCUGUGACGAAGAGUGAGUGACGGUAAUGGGUAAAGAAGCACCGGCUAACUACGUG